This 1241-nucleotide long non-coding RNA is filed under the name Cavia porcellus (domestic guinea pig). RNAcentral describes it as "lncRNA (ENSCPOG00000034217.1)". The record is from RNAcentral. Lineage: Eukaryota; Metazoa; Chordata; Mammalia; Rodentia; Caviidae.
GUUCAAUCCCUGUACCAAAAUAAAAAAAAAAAAAAAAAAAAAAAAAAAACAAGAACAAAAUAAAAACAAUGCUCACAUCACACAGCAGUAACCACCCUCAGGUUUUCUUGCAUCUUCCAGUGUUUCUGAAGUUCACCCUCAGGCACAGGCUCACAUGCACAAUUACACACGCGUGCGUUUAAGUUUUCAAUAUAGCGUGACACCCUUACUGUGCCUAGCAUUUAAAAAAUUUAGAAACAGGGCCAUGGAAACUUCUCUCCAUUGUAACUAACGGGAAAGGACUGUACUGCCGGGGUGGCGGUGCACUCCUGUAAUCUCAGUACUUGGGAGGCUGAGGCAUCAGGACCGCUGUGAGUUCAAGGCCAGCCUGACCUACACAGUGAGACCCUGCCUCAAAAACGACACAGCAAGAAAAAUAAAGACAUAAAAUAAAAUGACUGUGCCAUGUUCCUUCUGUUAUAAAGCUUAUCACUUACCAAUCUUCAACUUUGUUUUCGUCUUUUGAGACAGCACCUCGCUUGGAGCCCUGCUGGCCUUCCUCAGGACAGUCCUCCUGCCUCAGCCUCCGAAUGCUGGCCUUAGGGCAUGGCCACCAUGUCUGGCUCAGUAUUCAGUGAUUAGGGAUCCAGACUGUUCUAAUAAACAGCACUACAGUGGAGGCCCCGCCUCUGCCCUGGUAGGAGCAUCUGUCUACCCAGCUGGUCUCUGACCUUCAGAGCAGGGUCUGCAUCCCUCAGCUCGGUGCCCCGAGCUUGGCCUGGUCCUGCUCAUCCCACACUGGUGCAUUUCUCAGCGUGUGCCUGCAGCAGCUGGGGAAGGUGCCACCCUCCAGCUUGGGAGCGCGGCCCUUUGUUCCCGCCCUGCUCUUCGUCCACCACGAGGGCCUCCCAGGACCCCUGGCUGCCACCUUCUAGGCUCUAGGUCAUUCCGGACUCCCGACGCUGCCAGCCCCUCGGUGAACGUGAGCGCCAUUGGCGUCCGUGGCCUCUGUUUCCGUGGCAACCCAGUAACCAUUAAUUUUCAAUUAAAGGAGACAAAAAGCUCAAUGACAGCUCCAGGUCCGCUGAAGAUGUCAAGAAUGUGUAUUAAUAUACAGCACGAGAGCAUAAUUGUGUGUCCAUCUUCCAGAGCAGCGAAAAAUGGAGGGAUAAUUACCAGCUCGAAAGCCACUCUGUAAUUUAGUUCUUACUGUCGCCAAGCCCUGCACAUUAGCAUAAAUUAAAAGCAGAGUUUAUUGUUAU